AGAACCUCCUGUGGAGAAUGCUAACACGACAGAGCCUAACGGAGUGUAUGAGGAGAUCAGAGAGGAGGAAAGACGGACGAGAUCUACUCCUGUUGAAAUAUCCACAGUUUACACUUUUCCACUGCAGCCAGUUCUCAGAAGAAAGUAAAUAAAAACUGUAGCAGGAUUUUAGCGUUGGGUUCAGCAAAUCGUAUCAUUAAAAUCAUUGUUUCUGAGCAACAUAA
Long non-coding RNA from Micropterus dolomieu (smallmouth bass), 224 nucleotides. RefSeq lists it as uncharacterized. Lineage: Eukaryota; Metazoa; Chordata; Actinopteri; Centrarchiformes; Centrarchidae. The record is from RefSeq and is a predicted model, not a curated record. The transcript has 2 exons.